GGAGGCGGCCGGACGGCCGCGGGCGCGAUCGUCGAAAGGCGGCGCUCGAGGAAAGUCCGGGCUCCACAGAGCAGGCUCGCGGGUAACGCCCGUCCGCCGUGAGGCGAGGACCAGCGCCACAGUGACGAUGCCCGCGCAAGCGGGAGUGAAACGCGGCAAGCUCGAGCCGGAGCAAGACCGAAUAGGAGGGCGACCGCGGCCUUCGGGCCGCAGCAGGUAGCUCGCUCAGCCCUCGGGUAGGUCGCUCAGAUGGAUGGCCGUCGCGGCACCAUGGCGUGCCGGCACAGAACCCGGCUUACAGGCCGCUCUCCAGGG
RNAcentral lists this RNase P RNA (315 nucleotides) under Chloroflexota bacterium. RNAcentral's name for it is "Chloroflexi bacterium RNase P RNA component class A". It matches the Rfam family "Bacterial RNase P class A". From Rfam's summary of the family: Ribonuclease P (RNase P) is a ubiquitous endoribonuclease, found in archaea, bacteria and eukarya as well as chloroplasts and mitochondria. Its best characterised activity is the generation of mature 5'-ends of tRNAs by cleaving the 5'-leader elements of precursor-tRNAs. The record is from RNAcentral. Lineage: Bacteria; Bacillati; Chloroflexota.